This 1343-nucleotide ribosomal RNA is filed under the name uncultured bacterium. RNAcentral's name for it is "16S ribosomal RNA". It matches the Rfam family "Bacterial small subunit ribosomal RNA", at positions 28 to 1378 of the family's 1533-position model. The record is from RNAcentral.
GACGAACGCUGGCGGCGUGCUUAACACAUGCAAGUCGAACGGAAAGGCCCUGCUUUUGUGGGGUGCUCGAGUGGCGAACGGGUGAGUAACACGUGAGUAACCUGCCCUUGACUUUGGGAUAACUUCAGGAAACUGGGGCUAAUACCGGAUAGGAGCUCCUGCUGCAUGGUGGGGGUUGGAAAGUUUCGGCGGUUGGGGAUGGACUCGCGGCUUAUCAGCUUGUUGGUGGGGUAGUGGCUUACCAAGGCUUUGACGGGUAGCCGGCCUGAGAGGGUGACCGGCCACAUUGGGACUGAGAUACGGCCCAGACUCCUACGGGAGGCAGCAGUGGGGAAUAUUGCACAAUGGGCGGAAGCCUGAUGCAGCAACGCCGCGUGCGGGAUGACGGCCUUCGGGUUGUAAACCGCUUUCGCCUGUGACGAAGCGUGAGUGACGGUAAUGGGUAAAGAAGCACCGGCUAACUACGUGCCAGCAGCCGCGGUGAUACGUAGGGUGCGAGCGUUGUCCGGAUUUAUUGGGCGUAAAGGGCUCGUAGGUGGUUGAUCGCGUCGGAAGUGUAAUCUUGGGGCUUAACCCUGAGCGUGCUUUCGAUACGGGUUGACUUGAGGAAGGUAGGGGAGAAUGGAAUUCCUGGUGGAGCGGUGGAAUGCGCAGAUAUCAGGAGGAACACCAGUGGCGAAGGCGGUUCUCUGGGCCUUUCCUGACGCUGAGGAGCGAAAGCGUGGGGAGCGAACAGGCUUAGAUACCCUGGUAGUCCACGCUGUAAACGGUGGGUACUAGGUGUGGGGUCCAUUCCACGGGUUCCGUGCCGUAGCUAACGCUUUAAGUACCCCGCCUGGGGAGUACGGCCGCAAGGCUAAAACUCAAAGGAAUUGACGGGGCCCCGCACAAGCGGCGGAGCAUGCGGAUUAAUUCGAUGCAACGCGUAGAACCUUACCUGGGUUUGACAUGGAUCGGGAGUGCUCAGAGAUGGGUGUGCCUCUUUUGGGGUCGGUUCACAGGUGGUGCAUGGCUGUCGUCAGCUCGUGUCGUGAGAUGUUGGGUUAAGUCCCGCAACGAGCGCAACCCUUGUUCACUGUUGCCAGCACGUUAUGGUGGGGACUCAAUGGAGACCGCCGGGGUCAACUCGGAGGAAGGUGGGGAUGACGUCGAGUCAUCAUGCCCCUUAUGUCCAGGGCUUCACGCAUGCUACAAUGGCUGGUACAGAGAGUGGCGAGCCUGUGAGGGUGAGCGAAUCUCGGAAAGCCGGUCUCAGUUCGGAUUGGGGUCUGCAACUCGACCUCAUGAAGUCGGAGUCGCUAGUAAUCGCAGAUCAGCAACGCUGCGGUGAAUACGUUCCCGGG